RNAcentral lists this ribosomal RNA (430 nucleotides) under uncultured bacterium. RNAcentral describes it as "bacterial SSU rRNA". It matches the Rfam family "Bacterial small subunit ribosomal RNA", at positions 354 to 775 of the family's 1533-position model. The record is from RNAcentral.
GUGGGGAAUAUUGCGCAAUGGGGGAAACCCUGACGCAGCGACGCCGUGUGAGGGAAGAAGGCCUUCGGGUCGUAAACCUCUGUCGGGAGGGAAGAACCGCCGGUUUCCGAACAGGGAGCCGGUCUGACGGUACCUCCGAAGGAGGCGCCGGCUAACUCCGUGCCAGCAGCCGCGGUAAUACGGGGGGCGCGAGCGUUAAUCGGAAUCACUGGGCGUAAAGCGCGCGUAGGCGGCCAGAUAAGUCGGGCGUGAAAGCCCUCGGCUCAACCGGGGAACUGCGUUCGAUACUGUUUGGCUUGAGUCCUGGAGAGGGUGGCGGAAUUCCGGGUGUAGGAGUGAAAUCCGUAGAUAUCCGGAGGAACACCGGUGGCGAAGGCGGCCACCUGGACAGGUACUGACGCUGAGGUGCGAAAGCGUGGGGAGCAAACAG